ACGGGAGGCAGCAGUAGGGAAUAUUGCACAAUGGGGGAAACCCUGAUGUAGCAACGCCACGUGUGGGAAGAAGCAUUUCGGUGUGUAAACUACUGUCGUGAAGGAAUAAUGCCUGGUUUCGGCCAGGUUGAAUGUACUUUGAAAGGAAGCACCGGCAAACUUCGUGCCAGCAGCCGCGGUAAUACGAGGGGUGCAAGCGUUGUUCGGAAUCACUGGGCGUAAAGGGAGCGCAGGCGGAAGUGCAAGCGGUCUGUACAAUACCGGGGCCCAACCCCGGACCUGCAGACCGGACUGCAUUUCUUGGAUAGUUCAGGGGCAAGCGGAAUUCCUGGUGUAGCGGUGGAAUGCGUAGAGAUCAAGAAGAACACCGAUGGCGAAGGCAGCUUGCUGGGGACUUAUCGACGCUCAUGCUCGAAAGUGCGGGUAGCAAACAGGAUUAGAUACCCUGGUA
Molecule: ribosomal RNA, 451 nt
Filed under: uncultured Fibrobacter sp.
Lineage: Bacteria; Pseudomonadati; Fibrobacterota; Fibrobacteria; Fibrobacterales; Fibrobacteraceae
Description: partial 16S ribosomal RNA
Rfam family: Bacterial small subunit ribosomal RNA
Source: RNAcentral